This 1683-nucleotide ribosomal RNA is filed under the name metagenome. RNAcentral describes it as "bacterial LSU rRNA". It matches the Rfam family "Bacterial large subunit ribosomal RNA", at positions 1217 to 2925 of the family's 2925-position model. The record is from RNAcentral.
UAAUUCAAUUGGUAGAGGAGCAUUCUUAAAGGGACGAAGCAGUACCGGAAGGAGCUGUGGACUUUUAAGAAGAGAGAAUGCCGGAAUGAGUAGCGAGAGGAAGGUGGGAAUCCUUCCGGCCGAAUAUCUAAGGUUUCCAGAGUAAAGCUGAUCUGCUCUGGGUAAGUCGGGGCCUAAGGCGAGGUCGAAAGACGUAGUCGAUGGAUAACAGGUUGAAAUUCCUGUACUAUCCUGUAACAGAACUGUGGGGACACAGGCAGAGAGCGUGAGCCGGGAAUGGAAAGACCGGUACAAGCGAGGUAGGAGAAGAGUUGGCAAAUCCGCUCUUUAAUCUGAAGACGUGAUGUGGACUGAAAAUAAGUAGGGAAGCACGUGAGCUGACUGUCAAGAAAAGCCGCUAUUGUUUGCAGGAUACCCGUACCGUAAACCGACACAGGUGGAUGAGGAGAGAAUCCUAAGGCCGACGGGAGAAGCAUUGUUAAGGAACUCGGCAAAAUGACUCCGUAACUUCGGGAGAAGGAGUGCCAGUAAGAUGGCCGCAGAGAAUUGGCCCAAGCAACUGUUUAGCAAAAACACAGGUCUAUGCAAAACCGAAAGGUGAGGUAUAUGGGCUGACGCCUGCCCGGUGCUGGAAGGUUAAGGGGAGAGGUUAGCGCAAGCGAAGCUUUGAACAUAAGCCCCAGUAAACGGCGGCCGUAACAAUAACGGUCCUAAGGUAGCGAAAUUCCUUGUCGGGUAAGUUCCGACCCGCACGAAAGGCGUAAUGAUUUGGGCACUGUCUCAACAAUGCACCCGGUGAAAUUGAAAUACCAGUGAAGAUGCUGGUUACCUGCGCCAGGACGGAAAGACCCCAUGGAGCUUUACUCCAGCUUGAUACUGGGAUUCGGUAUUGCAUGUACAGGAUAGGUGGGAGGCUAGGAAAUGGUAACGCCAGUUGCCAUGGAGCCAAUGUUGGGAUACCACCCUUGCAGUACUGGGUUUCUAACCAGCAGCCGUGAUCCGGCUGGGGGACAAUGUCAGGUGGGGAGUUUGACUGGGGCGGUCGCCUCCGAAAGGGUAUCGGAGGCGCUCAAAGGUUCCCUCAGAAUGGUUGGAAACCAUUCGAAGAGUGCAAAGGCAGAAGGGAGCUUGACUGCGACACCGACGGGUGGAGCAGGUACGAAAGUAGGACUUAGUGAUCCGGUGGUAUAAAGUGGGAUUGCCAUCGCUCAACGGAUAAAAGCUACCCUGGGAUAACAGGCUUAUUACUCCCAAGAGUCCACAUCGACGGAGUGGUUUGGCACCUCGAUGUCGGCUCAUCGCAUCCUGGGGCUGAAGUAGGUCCCAAGGGUUGGGCUGUUCGCCCAUUAAAGCGGUACGCGAGCUGGGUUCAGAACGUCGUGAGACAGUUCGGUCCCUAUCCGGCGUGGGCGUAAGAUAUUUGAGAGGAGCUGUCCUUAGUACGAGAGGACCGGGAUGGACUGGCCGCUGGUGUAUCUGUUGUCUUACCAAAGGCAUAGCAGAGUAGCCAAGCCGGGAAGGGAUAAACACUGAAGGCAUCUAAGCGUGAAGCCCCCCUCAAGAUGAGAUAUCUCAUAACGUCAAGUUAGUAAGACCCCUUGAAGACGGCGAGGUAGAUAGGGCAGAGGUGGAAGUGUGGUAACACAUGGAGCUGACUGUUACUAAUAGGUCGAGGGCAUAACC